GAUGGAUGAGUGGACAGCCUGUCCAGGCAGCCUGAGGGAUGGACAAACUGCUGUGGAACGAGCAAGAGCUUCUCCUGGUUCCUCCACCUCUCCAGGACUGCCCUGGGCACAGCCCUGGCCCCACGGAGCCCACCCCAGCCGCCACCUCUGCCGGGGAGGUUCUGGGCAGGAGGAAGAGGAAGAGGAAGAAUCGUCAGAGGCAGCUGGUGGAGGAAGCAGACCGUGCAGGUCGUGGUUUGGUGCGGCCAGGACAGGGAAAUUCUGGGAAAAGAAAGCACUUCUACAAGUGAGUCACUGCUGCAUCCUUCCUUCCUCCUGGAAGGAGCUGUUCACUUCUGGCUUGUCCCCCUGCGCCACCACGGAACUCUGCAAACACGUAAAUUCUGCGAGGGUCACCAAAACCAUCGGGAUUGCGACACGCUGAUCGCUGCUGGGAGCCGUUCACCUCUCAGGAACGGGAAAUUCCCUGUCGGUGCCGGGCUCCGCCUGCCGGGAAGAGGAGCCCAGGGGACAAAGGGGGUGCCCCGGGUGCUGCUGGCUGUGCCGAGCCCCAGGGCUCUCCCAGGGCAGUGCUGCACACGGGGCACUGGUGCCCUCGGUGUUCCCGUGGGUGCUGUGGGCAGGGGGGCUAAGCCUGGUGUCCCCCGCUCGGUUCAACACCCAAAUUUGUCACCCAGAGGUGCGGCAGGCAGGCGGAGCAUCUCCCGGAGCAUCAGGCAGUGACACUCAGGGAUGCCCCGCACUUCCCGCACUCCAGUUCCCUCCUUGCCAGGGUAGAUCUUUGCCUCCCACAGUUGGAUUUGGGAUGCGAAACACCCAGCGGUGGCACAAGGGUGACAUCCCUGUCCCCGCUGCCUCUUUUGCAUUGGGGUUUGGGGGCAGGCGGCGCUGGUUUCAGUUCAACCUGCCGUGUGCGGAGCGGUGAGACCGGCGGGAAUCCAAAAGUCUUUCCCGAGAAGUCGGGACGCGGGGGCCGUGCCGGACCGGGGGUGAGCGGUGGCACCGCAGCCUCCGGCCGGCCUCCCUCGAGGAACUGCCUCGAAGAACAGAAGAACAUCCCCGUGCACCGCCCGGCCGCUCUCACUACCCCGCUCAUUGGCCCCCGGACACGGCUGCACUUCUCGCUGCCUUCCGCCGUGCCCGGGUGCCUCCUUCGGAGGUGGGGGUGACUCGGGUGCGCUUUAAAAGCCGCGCUUCCCCAUCGCCGAGCGUUAAGGAAGUGCCUUGUGCGCCCCAGCCCCGGGCGGACACCGGGCCCGGCCAUGCGGCGCGACGGGCGGCCCUGGGCGGUGCUGGCAGCUGUCGCCCAAGGGCUCCUCAUCCUCUGGGCAGUGCCGGGCCAGGGGGGCAGGUCCCCGCUGGCCCCCACCGUGCAGCAGACCCAGGCGCUGGUGAGGCUCAUGGCCGAGGACGCGCAGGAGCUCUUCACCUUCUACGAGAAGGAGCAGCACCUGGACAUCCACAACAUGUGCCGCACCAACAAUACCCCCGAGUGGCUGCAGAGACCGGCCAGGGGGCCCUGGGGGCUGCGGAGGCUGCGGAGACCCAUGAUCCACAUGGAGCAGGCGCUGCAGGACAUCAUCCGCCACCAGCGCGACCUCCACCACCCCGAGGCCGAGAUGCUUCGCCGCUUGAGCAGGACCCACCGGAAGGUGCGAGCGCUCCUCAGCAACCUGGCGGGGCUUUUCCCGGCCCCCGGCCUCCGGCCCGGCCGCCGGCCCCUCCCCAGCCCCGCGGCAUCCCUCGGCAUCUUCCGACAGAAGCUGCAGGGCUGCCGGAUCCUCUGGAGCUACUCCCGCUUCAUGGCCGAGCGCAGCGCGGAGCUGGGGGCCGGGAGCCGCCGGACGCGCCGGGAGAAGGGGAGAUCGCAGCGGGGCUCGGGGCUGCCCGCCCGGCCCUAGGCAGCGCCCCGGUACCGGAGCUCCGGUGUGCUUCAUCUCCUUCAUCCCCGUCCGUGGGAAUCCAUCCCAGCCCCAUUCCCGGGAUGGAGAUGCGGCCGGUGGCCGGGAUGCCCCACGGAGCCUCUGUCACCUCCCCUGGGUCGGGCUCGGAUGCACUGAGAGCAUCUCCCGCCGCUCCGGCUCCUGGUGGGGACACGGCUGUCCCCGAGCCACCGCUGGGCUGCAGGACAGCCCUGGCUGCCCCUCCCGCAUCCCGCCCCGCUUUCCCGUGGAUCCAGGUGGGAGCCGGGUGUCCCCCAGCUGCUCCCUGUCCCCGAGUCCUGCCGGAGUUUCCAGUGAUUCAAUGGGUCGGGUGACACAGCCUGACUCACAGCUGCUCGCCCAGCACCCGCCACCGGGCCCACGGCGCUGCCACCGGCGGCUGUCACCGGUGCUGUCACCCCCUGCCUGCCCGCUGCCGGCUCCGCUCCCAGGGAGAAGCUGGGAGGGGAGUCCUGUGUCCCUGCACGUCUGUGUCCCUCUGUGCUCGGUGUCCCCAAGCUCGGUGUUCCUGUGCUCUCAGUGUCCCCAGGCUGCACACUGGGGGUUGCCACAAUCCCAACAUCCCUGUCCCCUCUGUGUCCCCCUGAGCCUCCGAGGCUGUGCCACCACAGCCCUGACCGUGCCCAGCAGGGACUCGGCUCUGUGCCCUGCACUGUGACAGUGGGUGACAGCCCCCACUGCCUCCCCUCUAAUUUAUACAUUAAUAUUUGUGUGUUUAGUGUAUUUAUUGAUUGUUAGGGUUAAUUUAACUCCUGCAGCUCGCAGAAGUAUUUAAGGAUAUUUCUAAUAUAUAAAUAUCUAUUUUUAUUAUAUUUUUUGUACGGCAUUAAACUAUGAACAUCACAAGGAUUUAUUUAUGUAUAUUGAUAUUUUUGGUACACAUAGAAGGGCAGUGCCCCCGCCCAUGUGGCACUUCUUUAUUUUUGUACAAUGGCAGAAGGAAAUAAAGUGCUGACCUUGGCCUAUGGGCCACUGAGACGUCGUGUCCCUGUGUCCCUUUGUCCCUGUGUCUGUCCUGGUGGCUGUGGGCAGGGAGAGGCUGUAUUCUGGUGGCCAGGCUGUGUCUGAUGUCCUUGCCAGGGCACACGGGAUGUGACAUGGGGCGGU
This 3050-nucleotide long non-coding RNA is filed under the name Taeniopygia guttata (zebra finch). Its description in RNAcentral is "lncRNA (ENSTGUG00000023559.1)". The record is from RNAcentral. Lineage: Eukaryota; Metazoa; Chordata; Aves; Passeriformes; Estrildidae.